AGGGUGUGUCACUUUGAAGAUUUU
RNAcentral lists this non-coding RNA (24 nucleotides) under Arabidopsis thaliana (thale cress). The record is from RNAcentral. Lineage: Eukaryota; Viridiplantae; Streptophyta; Magnoliopsida; Brassicales; Brassicaceae.